AUAGCCUAGUGGUUGGGCUACCCGCCUCUGAUGCAUAAGGUCCCGGGUUCGACUCUUGGCA
RNAcentral lists this transfer RNA (61 nucleotides) under Oxyrrhis marina. Lineage: Eukaryota; Dinophyceae; Oxyrrhinales; Oxyrrhinaceae. The record is from RNAcentral.